This is a long non-coding RNA of Polypterus senegalus (gray bichir), 627 nucleotides long. RefSeq lists it as uncharacterized. Lineage: Eukaryota; Metazoa; Chordata; Cladistia; Polypteriformes; Polypteridae. The record is from RefSeq and is a predicted model, not a curated record. The transcript is spliced from 3 exons.
ACCUGUUGCUCGCCUUCAUUGUGCUGGCACACGACAGCUGGCACGGCCCUAGGCUCACUACCGAUUAUAUUCCGGAUUGUUAGAACCGUUUGGUUCCUCACUGAGCUACAGAAUGCCCUGCGCUGCCAACUCCUGGCUGGAGGUUACAUACUUAAAGUGCACAAUUUAACGCGAGGCGGCGCGCUCAGUGCGACCAGGACUGAAGUCGGCACGGCUCACCUCCUCCACCAAGUCAAAGUGUCCUGCCAACACUCAACGGGAACUCCGGCCGCCCAGACUGUCAGUCCCGGAGUUUCGAGAGAGCGCUUCCGUGGCCUGAGCCCCCUGCUGCGACGAGGCCCGCCUGGCUUGGCUGACGCACGACACCACCUUUGGUCGCACGCGCAGGUGACCAAGUCGACAGCUGCACUGAGGAAAGACCGGCGGCGCAGCGAAACAUGACGAGAGAACCGCAACAAGAAAAGCAGCAAAGAAAAAACAAACAAUUUCUCCAUCCACCACCACCUGAUCAAGGAAACAUGCAGCCACUAGCGAUCCUCAAAUAAAAGCAGGAUGGCCUAUCGUACGAUAAGGUGAAAGAUGGGAACCAGUGCUGAUCGACACUAUACACUCCAAACACACACCAGG